CGUGCGGCGAUUUUCAGGCGUCAGCUUGUGUUUAAUGAUAAAAAAGUCCUCUUCCAGUGAAGAAAAAUUGAAAACGCUAGCGUACGAGGAGCAUUAGCGCGUGUUUAUUGCACUCAUCGCGCACUUUCGAUCGCGAUUGAAAGUGGUUAAUUGUUCAAGGACCAGACACGAUUGGUCGAGCGCAUUAUCAUCUUACGUACUGCUGAAUACAUUGAGAGUACCUGCACGAAGAUCGUCCGCCUGGUCUGAAGGGUCAACAGACACCUUCUGGCGUAGAAAGGUAAACUUCAAGCAUCUUUGGUCAUGGAUGCCACUGCAACUUUCACACUGCCGAGCGAACAUGCAGGUGAAGAGAGCCUGGAGAGAACGUCAACAACACCUCAUCUUGCUGUCAUCGGUAUCACUGCAACAAGCACUGCAAAAUGUGGGGAUAACGUUAUGCACUGAUCUCACCGCACGGAAAGGAUGUCUGCGACAUACUACUUGAAAACUGUGAACACUGGGGCUUCAAGCACGUUUCCGAAUCUCAACGCACUAACAUAAUUACUCUCUUCCCAGCAAUUAACAUAACGAUACAAGCGUCACAUCUUGGUGGUAAAACGUCGCACACCAAACACGUAUUGAUGGACAAGAGCACGAAAAUUGACCAAAAGACAGAACUGAUCUAGCAGAAAUAACACUCCAUCGAUUAUAUAGUUGAGUUGUACAAGGCCUGCUGCAAAUCGUUCCAUGCGAACAAUGUUGCAUGAAAACCUAGUGCAUUUAUACAGCUGCGGAAUAAACAUAUAAAGUGGAAAAACUUA
Molecule: long non-coding RNA, 803 nt
Filed under: Rhipicephalus microplus (southern cattle tick)
Lineage: Eukaryota; Metazoa; Arthropoda; Arachnida; Ixodida; Ixodidae
Description: uncharacterized LOC119181399, transcript variant X5
Source: RNAcentral